This 370-nucleotide ribosomal RNA is filed under the name uncultured organism. Its description in RNAcentral is "bacterial SSU rRNA". It matches the Rfam family "Bacterial small subunit ribosomal RNA", at positions 526 to 896 of the family's 1533-position model. The record is from RNAcentral.
CGUAGGGUGCGAGCGUUAAUCGGAAUAAUUGGGCGUAAAGGGUGCGCAGGCGGUAAGCUAAGACGGAUGUGAAAGCCCCGGGCUCAACCUGGGAAUGGCAUACGUGACUGGCUCACUAGAAUAUGGCAGAGGGAGGUAGAAUUCCACAUGUAGCAGUGAAAUGCGUAGAUAUGAGGAGGAACACCGAUGGCGAAGGCAGCCUCCUGGGUCAAUAUUGACGCUCAGGCACGAAAGCGUGGGGAGCAAACAGGAUUAGAUACCCUGGUAGUCCACGCCCUAAACGAUGUCAACUAGUUGUUGGGGAAAACUUUCCUUAGUGACGUAGCUUACGCGUGAAGUUGACCGCCUGGGGAGUACGGUCGCAAGAUUA